AGACAAUGACAUUUCCUUCAACCUUUAGCACAAGUCUCCUUGCAGUCGGCUAAACAAAAACACCUGCCGAGAAAACAUCUCAAAGAUAUUAAGUCUAUCAACGUCAUUGUCUGUCAGGACAGUCAUGGAACAUCUGGGCUGCAGGGCCAUCGUGGCCUUUUGUUUUGUGGGGGCAGUUAUUGCAGGUGCACAUCCUCCUGGAUCAGUCCUGGGGGAGACUCAAGCAUUUCAAAGAAAACUCCUGAUGGAAUAUGAUAAUAACCCUGCCUCAACAACCACUGCCCACCCCACCGUGGCUGGUUCCUCCACAGGCUCUACCUACCUGGUUGCAGCACUGGCCUCCGCCUUCACUGUCUCCCUGUUCCUCGUGGUGGCCU
Long non-coding RNA from Oncorhynchus keta (chum salmon), 377 nucleotides. RefSeq lists it as uncharacterized. The transcript is spliced from 3 exons. Lineage: Eukaryota; Metazoa; Chordata; Actinopteri; Salmoniformes; Salmonidae. The record is from RefSeq and is a predicted model, not a curated record.